CAGCUAUGACCAUUUUCGUGAGCUGAUUCACUCCUGUUUGUACUUUGGAGGAAGAAGCUUGGAAUACAGAGAAGCAUGCAGGCAGCAACCCAGGUUUCCUAUGUAGGAACCACAUGUGCAAAAAUGGCAAAAGAAAGAGAGGAGCAAGAGAUCCGCUUAUGAUAAUCCAACAAAACGAUAACUGGAACAGAAAAGAAAACGACGGCCAAUCAAACCCCUGAGUGACUCCACAUUGUCUUUAAUUCUCCUCUAAUCAAAGAGCAGCACACAGUUGUGAGAGGUGGUCCGAGCCGGGGAGAUUAUGCAGAGAGUGACUCCAUUCAGAGAAAUUUUGGCAUGAUUCCUAACCUCUUAGCCUGAGGGAGAAUUUCUUAAAUUUUAUUUGUGGUUCUCACCUGAGAGAAUUGAUGCCUUCAAGAGAGCACCAGACAGAGGCUAAACAGACAUGCAAUAAAAUUAUCCUCCUUGGAUGGGUCAGGAGCUGGCUGAUAACUUACUCUAAGCCUACAUCAAUCAGGGAGCAGCAGGGGCAUCCACAGUCAAGGAGAGCUGAAGGUGGCAGGGCGUACAGCCGCAGAUCAUCUUAAAUAAAGAUAUAGAAGGCAGACUCUCAUAAAAGAAACCAUAAAUGAAACAAUGAAUAACGACUUCUGUUUAUCAUUCUCUAUUGUUUGCAACUUUCACAAUAAGCGUGUAUUGUUUUCUUAAAUAAAUAGCAAACAAUAAACUCAUAUUGAUAUGGCAUCAAUUUUCACUGAAUACCCUAAGAGGAAGCCAUGUUUUUC
RNAcentral lists this long non-coding RNA (785 nucleotides) under Homo sapiens (human). RNAcentral's name for it is "non-protein coding lnc-UCHL3-7:2". The record is from RNAcentral. Lineage: Eukaryota; Metazoa; Chordata; Mammalia; Primates; Hominidae.